Molecule: ribosomal RNA, 301 nt
Filed under: uncultured bacterium
Lineage: Bacteria
Description: partial 16S ribosomal RNA
Rfam family: Bacterial small subunit ribosomal RNA
Source: RNAcentral
CAGCCGCCGCGGGAAUACGGAGGAUCCGAGCGUUAUCCGGAAUUAUUGGGUUUAAAGGGUGCGUAGGCGGAUAGAUAAGUCAGUGGUGAAAGACGGUGGCUCAACCAUCGCAGUGCCGUUGAUACUGUUUAUCUUGAAUAUGGAUGAGGUAGGCGGAAUGUGGCAAGUAGCGGUGAAAUGCAUAGAUAUGCCACAGAACACCGAUUGCGAAGGCAGCUUACCAAGGCAAAAUUGACGCUGAGGCACGAAAGCGUGGGGAUCGAACAGGAUUAGAUACCCCAGUAGUCCCUGUCUCUUAUAA